Perognathus longimembris pacificus (Pacific pocket mouse) is the source of this 104-nucleotide small nuclear RNA. Lineage: Eukaryota; Metazoa; Chordata; Mammalia; Rodentia; Heteromyidae. The record is from RefSeq and is a predicted model, not a curated record.
GUGCUCACUUUGGCAGCACAUCUAUUAAAACUGGAAUAAUACAGAGAUUAGCAUGGCCCUUGCUCAAGGAUGACAUGCAAAUUUGUGAAGUGUUCCAUAUUUUU